Molecule: non-coding RNA, 45 nt
Filed under: Schistosoma haematobium
Lineage: Eukaryota; Metazoa; Platyhelminthes; Trematoda; Strigeidida; Schistosomatidae
Source: RNAcentral
AUCCAGCUGAUCAGUCCCAGAUAGGAUGAAACGCGUGUUCUGGAU